Molecule: ribosomal RNA, 133 nt
Filed under: uncultured bacterium
Lineage: Bacteria
Description: partial 16S ribosomal RNA
Source: RNAcentral
GGUACCGUCAGCCGCCAUCCCUAUUCGAAAUGACGGAGUUCUUCCCCUCUGACAGUGGUUUACACCCCGAAGGGCUUACUCCCACACGCGGCGUCGCUGCGUCAGCCUUUCGGCCAUUGCGCAAUAUUCCCCA